CUCAGGAYGYGAAUCUGCGCUUUUAUGGCGCCSAAUUGUGGUCUAUAGACUUUGRCGUUAUCUGCCGGGCCAABUUCCUUGGAAAAGGACAGCUGAGAGGGUGAGACUCCCGUCCGCCUGGUAGAAUGAGUCUUUGUCAACSAGUCGAGUUGUUUGGGAUUGCAGCUCUAAUUUGGUGGUAAAUUCCAUCUAAAGCUAAUAUUGGUGGGAGACCGAUAGCGUACAAGURCCGUGAGGGAAAGAUGCAAAGAACUUUGAAAAGAGAGUUAAAGAGUACCUGAAAUUGCUGAAACGGAAGCGAAGGAAACCAGUGUUUGUUGGUUCAUAUUUCCCUGGCCACUUGUGGUUUGGGCGCUGYGADCUUGCGYGGGUUUGCUUUGGUUGAUCCCUUUGGAAGAGCGCAGUCAGAGUUGAUGUCUGUUGCUAGCACUGGGUUUGACUAAUGCADACGAAAUGGUUUUCUUUACCCCGUCUUGAAACACGGACCAAGGAGUCUAAMVUAUGUGCGASUACAGGGGUGUCAAACCYCSSUGYGUAAUGAAHGUAACAGYGGDUGGAUAUUUUGCACAAUCCGCCGGCCUCAAUCCUUCGGGAGAACGGUCUGAGUGUGAGCAUACAUGUUGGGACCCGAAAGAUGGUGAACUAUGCCUGAAUAGGG
Molecule: ribosomal RNA, 658 nt
Filed under: Pseudo-nitzschia delicatissima
Lineage: Eukaryota; Bacillariophyta; Bacillariophyceae; Bacillariales; Bacillariaceae
Description: partial large subunit ribosomal RNA
Source: RNAcentral